This is a long non-coding RNA of Cyanistes caeruleus (blue tit), 378 nucleotides long. RefSeq lists it as uncharacterized. Lineage: Eukaryota; Metazoa; Chordata; Aves; Passeriformes; Paridae. The record is from RefSeq and is a predicted model, not a curated record.
GAGGGGGUUGGUGUUGUUCCUUGGAGGCAAAAGCACCCCAACAAUCAUGCUGGGGAGCUGUUACCCACUUUUUCAGCUGCAGCCAGCCAUGCUGGGGACACGUGGCCAGGAGAGGGACAAAGCCUGCCCUUUGUGAGCUCUUGAAGCCCAUCCUUCCAUAAAUCCUGCUAAAGAGAUGAGCAAAAGGCACCGUCGGAACGAGCUGAAUUCCAUGAGUUAUUUCUGUCUGCACACUGUUACCAGUGUGCAACUGCAGCCCAGGGAUGCUCUUGCACAGGCUCUGCACUGGUGUCAGAAAAGAGGAGAAGCCCUUUGUCAUCACUGCAUUUUAUGCAAAUUAAUAUUAGAAUAAAUAAUACAACAAGGAAAGAAACUAUU